GAUGAACGCUGGCGGCGUGCCUAAUACAUGCAAGUCGAGCGAACGGACGAGAAGCUUGCUUCUCUGAUGUUAGCGGCGGACGGGAGAGUAACACGUGGAUAACCUACCUAUAAGACUGGGAUAACUUCGGAAAACCGUAGCUAAUACCGGAUAAUAUUUUGCACCGCAUGGUUCAAAAGUGAAAGACGGUCUUGCUGUCACUUAUAGCUGGAUCCGCGCUGCAUUAGCUAGUUGGUAAGGUAACGGCUUACCAAGGCAACGAUGCAUAGCCGACCUGAGAGGGUGAUCGGCCACACUGGAACUGAGACACGGUCCAGACUCCUACGGGAGGCAGCAGUAGGGAAUCUUCCGCAAUGGGCGAAAGCCUGACGGAGCAACGCCGCGUGAGUGAUGAAGGUCUUCGGAUCGUAAAACUCUGUUAUUAGGGAAGAACAUAUGUGUAAGUAACUGUGCACAUCUUGACGGUACCUAAUCAGAAAGCCACGGCUAACUACGUG
RNAcentral lists this ribosomal RNA (497 nucleotides) under uncultured bacterium. RNAcentral's name for it is "partial 16S ribosomal RNA". It matches the Rfam family "Bacterial small subunit ribosomal RNA", at positions 28 to 507 of the family's 1533-position model. The record is from RNAcentral.